Molecule: unclassified non-coding RNA, 167 nt
Filed under: soil metagenome
Description: partial internal transcribed spacer 1
Source: RNAcentral
GUGAAUUAAACAUGCUUGGUGUCUUCGCUUCGGCAAGGCCCUUGCUUAAAUCACAUCCUAACACCUGUGAACUGUAAGACGUAUGAUGAGGUCUCUGGCCAAGUCAUCGUCUGCCCAUUUUUAACAAACAAUUAAUGUAACAAACGUAGUCUUAUUAUAACCUAAUA